CCCUUAGAUGUUCUGGGCCGCACGCGUGCUACACUGAACGGUUCAAUGGGUAAGGUAGUGCGAAAGCACGACCUAAUCUCGAAAUCCGUUCGUGCUGGGGAUAGAAGCUUGCAAUUAUCCUUCUUGAACGAGGAAUACCUUGUAAGCGUGAGUCAUCAUCUCACGCUGAAUACGUCCCUGCCCUUUGUACACACCGCCCGUCGCUCCUACCGAUUGAGUGUUCCGGUGAGGCUUUGGGAGAAUGGCCUCAACAUGAGUUUAUCGUGUUUUGCCGUUUGAACUUAGUCAAACCUUAUCACUUAGAGGAAGGAGAAGUCGUAACA
Molecule: ribosomal RNA, 323 nt
Filed under: uncultured eukaryote
Lineage: Eukaryota
Description: partial 18S ribosomal RNA
Rfam family: Eukaryotic small subunit ribosomal RNA
Source: RNAcentral